GACGAACGCUGGCGGCGUGCCUAAUACAUGCAAGUCGAGCGCAGGAAGUCAUCCGAACCCUUCGGGGGGACGUUGACGGAAUGAGCGGCGGACGGGUGAGUAACACGUAAAGAACCUGCCCUCAGGUCUGGGAUAACCACGAGAAAUCGGGGCUAAUACCGGAUGGGUCAUCGGACCGCAUGGUCCGAGGAUGAAAGGCGCUCCGGCGUCGCCUGGGGAUGGCUUUGCGGUGCAUUAGCUAGUUGGUGGGGUAAUGGCCCACCAAGGCGACGAUGCAUAGCCGACCUGAGAGGGUGGUCGGCCACACUGGGACUGAGACACGGCCCAGACUCCUACGGGAGGCAGCAGUAGGGAAUCUUCCACAAUGGACGAAAGUCUGAUGGAGCAACGCCGCGUGAACGAUGAAGGCCCUCGGGUCGUAAAGUUCUGUUGUAAGGGAAGAACAAGUGCCGCAGGCAAUGGCGGCACCUUGACGGUACCUUGCGAGAAAGCCACGGCUAACUACGUG
This 508-nucleotide ribosomal RNA is filed under the name uncultured bacterium. Its description in RNAcentral is "partial 16S ribosomal RNA". It matches the Rfam family "Bacterial small subunit ribosomal RNA", at positions 28 to 507 of the family's 1533-position model. The record is from RNAcentral.